GUCAGCAUUUAAUGGGCAGGAAAUGACGCCCCACAGAAGGAGCGAUUCAGGAGAGGGAGGAGAACAGAAGCCAGGGGAGGCGUUUCCAGAGGAGGAUGUGGCCAGGGCCUCGGGUGCUGCUGAGAAAGAGGUCAAGUGUCUUGAGAUUGAACAAGGUCUGCUGGGUUUGGGAACAUGCAGGGUGUGACUUUAGGAUGCUUUGGUGACGCUGUGGGCCAGACCCCAGAACAGCCUGGGCUGAAGACGAGGAGGAGGUGGAGGGCGGAUGGACUCUCCCUGGAGGACCGGUGUGGAGACAUCCAGGGUUGGGGCAGGAUUUUUAGCUUGUGGGUGGACCCGUUGGGGAGAGAGGGAAAACUCGCUGAAAACAGGAAGGAAAAGGCCCCGAGGACAGGGGCGCAGCCUGGCCUGUUGCAGGAGGGGAAGGUGAGGCAGGACACAGGUGCGGGAAGCUCUGCCCACCUUGCAGGUGGUCGAGGACCCCCACGGAGAGUAGAGCAGCCAGGCGUCUGCAUUGGGGGGAGGACGUUGGAAGUGUGGGAUGAUGGAGAGCUGACACCAGGUUGCAGAAAGUGAGAGGAAGGAGCUCUCUAUGAAGCCCAGGACGGCGUCCGACUUCUGGCUCAAGUGAUCCACCUGCUUCAGGCCUCCUGAGUGACAGGUGGGCCCUGGUGCGCUCCUCUCUCUCUCUCUCUCUCUCUCUCUCUCUCUCUCUCUCUCGGUACCAGGGAUUGAACUCAGGAGUACUCCACCACUGAGCCACAUCCCCAGCCCUCUUUUGUAUUUUAUUUAGAUACAGGGUCUCACUGAGUUGCUUAGCACCUCACUUUUGCUGAGGCUGCCUUUGAACUCUCAAUCCUCCUGCCUCAGCCUCCUGAGAUGCUGGGAUUUCAGGCCUGCACCACCACACCUGGUGAUCUCAUUCUUAUUACUAAUUUGCAUUGGGUUGGGAACUGAC
Molecule: long non-coding RNA, 958 nt
Filed under: Marmota monax (woodchuck)
Lineage: Eukaryota; Metazoa; Chordata; Mammalia; Rodentia; Sciuridae
Source: RNAcentral